GACGAACGCUGGCGGCGUGCUUAACACAUGCAAGUCGAACGGUGAAGGGACUGGUUUUGCUGGUCCUGGAUGAGUGGCGAACGGGUGAGUAACACGUGAGUAACCUGCCCCCUUCUUCUGGAUAACCGCAUGAAAGUGUGGCUAAUACGGGAUAUUCUGGGUCUGUCGCAUGGUGGGCCUGGGAAAGAUUGCGCCUUUUUUGGUGUUUUUGGUGGGGGAUGGGAUCGCGGCCUGUCAGCUUGUUGGUGGGGUGAUGGCCUACCAAGGCGGUGGCGGGUAGCCGGCCAGAGAGGGUAGACGGACAUGGUGGGAGAGAGAGACGGGCCAGACUGGGACGGGGGCAAGCAGUGGAGAAUUACGCACAGCGGGAGUAAGCAUGAUGCAGCGACGCGCGGUGGGCGAUGGAGGCCUUGGGGUUGUGAAGCUCUUGCGCUUGUGAAGCAGGAGUGCCUCUUCUUGUGGUGGGGUUGACGGUAGCUGGAUAAGAAGCGCCGGCUAACUACGUG
Molecule: ribosomal RNA, 506 nt
Filed under: uncultured bacterium
Lineage: Bacteria
Description: partial 16S ribosomal RNA
Rfam family: Bacterial small subunit ribosomal RNA
Source: RNAcentral